RNAcentral lists this ribosomal RNA (190 nucleotides) under uncultured Rhodocyclales bacterium. RNAcentral's name for it is "partial 16S ribosomal RNA". It matches the Rfam family "Bacterial small subunit ribosomal RNA", at positions 146 to 334 of the family's 1533-position model. The record is from RNAcentral. Lineage: Bacteria; Pseudomonadati; Pseudomonadota; Betaproteobacteria; Rhodocyclales.
ACCACCCGAAAGGGUGGCUAAUACCGCAUAAAUUCUGAGGAAGAAAGCUGGGGACCUAGGAAUAGGCCUAGCGCUUUUUGAGCGGCCGAUGUCGGAUUAGCUAGUUGGUGAGGUAAAGGCUCACCAAGGCGAAGAUCUGUAGCGGGUCUGAGAGGAUGAUCCGCCACACUGGGACUGAGACACGGCCCAG